UCUUUGAUGGUCUAGUGGUCAUGAUUUCCGCUUGUCAAUUCACAUUGCAAAGCGCGGGAGACCGGGGUUCGAUUCCCCGUCAGAGAG
Molecule: transfer RNA, 87 nt
Organism: Glarea lozoyensis ATCC 20868
Lineage: Eukaryota; Fungi; Ascomycota; Leotiomycetes; Helotiales; Helotiaceae
Rfam family: tRNA
About the family: Transfer RNA (tRNA) molecules are approximately 80 nucleotides in length.
Source: Rfam